AGAGCGAACGCCGGCGGCAGGCCUAACACAUGCAAGUCGAGCGCCCGUAGCAAUACGGGAGCGGCAGACGGGAUAGUAACACGUGGGAACGCGCCCUUCGGUUCGGAAUAACUCAGGGAAACUUGAGCUAAUACCGGAUACGCCCUUACGGGGAAAGAUUUAUUGCCGAAGGAACGGCCCGCGUCCGAUUAGCUAGUUGGUGAGGUAAUGGCUCACCAAGGCGACGAUCGGUAGCUGGUCUGAGAGGAUGACCAGCAUCACUGGGACUGAGACACGGCCUAGACUCCUACGGGAGGCAGCAGUGGGGAAUAUUGGACAAUGGGCGCAAGCCUGAUCCAGCCAUGCCGCGUGGAUGAUGAAGGCCUUAGGGUUGUAAAGUCCUUUUAACGGGGAGAUAAUGACGGUACCCGUAGAAUAAGCCCCGGCUAACUUCGCGCCAGCAGCCGC
Molecule: ribosomal RNA, 447 nt
Filed under: uncultured bacterium
Lineage: Bacteria
Description: SSU rRNA
Rfam family: Bacterial small subunit ribosomal RNA
Source: RNAcentral